GGAGGAUCUGGGGCGGUGGGGUGAGUAAGGUCGAGAGGGCAGAGAGCGGGGCAACGGAUGGAGACGGGUGAGUGGGUAACACUGGGGAGGGGUCAGUUGAGGUGGAGAGGGGACGAGAGGCAAGCAUAGGUAAAGGUGGCGGGGGACAGGGAGGCGGAGGAAUGUCAUUUAACGUAAAGGAUGUUACUGUAAACAUACGAUUUGUAACUAGCAAGAUUCUAUUAAGUAAAGAUACAAUGUUUA
This is a non-coding RNA of Pelobates cultripes (western spadefoot toad), 243 nucleotides long. Lineage: Eukaryota; Metazoa; Chordata; Amphibia; Anura; Pelobatidae. The record is from the annotation of a GenBank genome assembly.